UGACAGCCCCGUACACAAAAAUGCACAUAUUGUGAGCUCGAUGAGUAGGGCGGGACACGUGGUAUCCUGUCUGAAUAUGGGGGGCCCAUCCUCCAAGGCUAAAUACUCCUGACUGACCGAUAGUGAACCAGUACCGUGAGGGAAAGGCGAAAAGAACCCCGGCGAGGGGAGUGAAAAAGAACCUGAAACCGUGUACGUACAAGCAGUGGGAGCACGCUUAGGCGUGUGACUGCGUACCUUUUGUAUAAUGGGUCAGCGACUUAUAUUCUGUAGCAAGGUUAACCGAAUAGGGGAGCCGAAGGGAAACCGAGUCUUAACUGGGCGUUAAGUUGCAGGGUAUAGACCCGAAACCCGGUGAUCUAGCCAUGGGCAGGUUGAAGGUUGGGUAACACUAACUGGAGGACCGAACCGACUAAUGUUGAAAAAUUAGCGGAUGACUUGUGGCUGGGGGUGAAAGGCCAAUCAAACCGGGAGAUAGCUGGUUCUCCCCGAAAGCUAUUUAGGUAGCGCCUCGUGAAUUCAUCUCCGGGGGUAGAGCACUGUUUCGGCAAGGGGGUCAUCCCGACUUACCAACCCGAUGCAAACUGCGAAUACCGGAGAAUGUUAUCACGGGAGACACACGGCGGGUGCUAACGUCCGUCGUGAAGAGGGAAACAACCCAGACCGCCAGCUAAGGUCCCAAAGUCAUGGUUAAGUGGGAAACGAUGUGGGAAGGCCCAGACAGCCAGGAUGUUGGCUUAGAAGCAGCCAUCAUUUAAAGAAAGCGUAAUAGCUCACUGGUCGAGUCGGCCUGCGCGGAAGAUGUAACGGGGCUAAACCAUGCACCGAAGCUGCGGCAGCGACGCUUAUGCGUUGUUGGGUAGGGGAGCGUUCUGUAAGCCUGCGAAGGUGUGCUGUGAGGCAUGCUGGAGGUAUCAGAAGUGCGAAUGCUGACAUAAGUAACGAUAAAGCGGGUGAAAAGCCCGCUCGCCGGAAGACCAAGGGUUCCUGUCCAACGUUAAUCGGGGCAGGGUGAGUCGACCCCUAAGGCGAGGCCGAAAGGCGUAGUCGAUGGGAAACAGGUUAAUAUUCCUGUACUUGGUGUUACUGCGAAGGGGGGACGGAGAAGGCUAUGUUGGCCGGGCGACGGUUGUCCCGGUUUAAGCGUGUAGGCUGGUUUUCCAGGCAAAUCCGGAAAAUCAAGGCUGAGGCGUGAUGACGAGGCACUACGGUGCUGAAGCAACAAAUGCCCUGCUUCCAGGAAAAGCCUCUAAGCAUCAGGUAACAUCAAAUCGUACCCCAAACCGACACAGGUGGUCAGGUAGAGAAUACCAAGGCGCUUGAGAGAACUCGGGUGAAGGAACUAGGCAAAAUGGUGCCGUAACUUCGGGAGAAGGCACGCUGAUAUGUAGGUGAAGUCCCUUGCGGAUGGAGCUGAAAUCAGUCGAAGAUACCAGCUGGCUGCAACUGUUUAUUAAAAACACAGCACUGUGCAAACACGAAAGUGGACGUAUACGGUGUGACGCCUGCCCGGUGCCGGAAGGUUAAUUGAUGGGGUCAGCGCAAGCGAAGCUCUUGAUCGAAGCCCCGGUAAACGGCGGCCGUAACUAUAACGGUCCUAAGGUAGCGAAAUUCCUUGUCGGGUAAGUUCCGACCUGCACGAAUGGCGUAAUGAUGGCCAGGCUGUCUCCACCCGAGACUCAGUGAAAUUGAACUCGCUGUGAAGAUGCAGUGUACCCGCGGCAAGACGGAAAGACCCCGUGAACCUUUACUAUAGCUUGACACUGAACAUUGAGCCUUGAUGUGUAGGAUAGGUGGGAGGCUUUGAAGUGUGGACGCCAGUCUGCAUGGAGCCGGCCUUGAAAUACCACCCUUUAAUGUUUGAUGUUCUAACGUGGACCCGUGAUCCGGGUUGCGGACAGUGUCUGGUGGGUAGUUUGACUGGGGCGGUCUCCUCCUAAAGAGUAACGGAGGAGCACGAAGGUUGGCUAAUCCUGGUCGGACAUCAGGAGGUUAGUGCAAUGGCAUAAGCCAGCUUGACUGCGAGCGUGACGGCGCGAGCAGGUGCGAAAGCAGGUCAUAGUGAUCCGGUGGUUCUGAAUGGAAGGGCCAUCGCUCAACGGAUAAAAGGUACUCCGGGGAUAACAGGCUGAUACCGCCCAAGAGUUCAUAUCGACGGCGGUGUUUGGCACCUCGAUGUCGGCUCAUCACAUCCUGGGGCUGAAGUAGGUCCCAAGGGUAUGGCUGUUCGCCAUUUAAAGUGGUACGCGAGCUGGGUUUAGAACGUCGUGAGACAGUUCGGUCCCUAUCUGCCGUGGGCGCUGGAGAACUGAGGGGGGCUGCUCCUAGUACGAGAGGACCGGAGUGGACGCAUCACUGGUGUUCGGGUUGUCAUGCCAAUGGCACUGCCCGGUAGCUAAAUGCGGAAGAGAUAAGUGCUGAAAGCAUCUAAGCACGAAACUUGCCCCGAGAUGAGUUCUCCCUGACCCUUUAAGGGUCCUGAAGGAACGUUGAAGACGACGACGUUGAUAGGCCGGGUGUGUAAGCGCAGCGAUGCGUUGAGCUAACCGGUACUAAUGAACCGUGAGG
RNAcentral lists this ribosomal RNA (2568 nucleotides) under Shigella sonnei. RNAcentral's name for it is "partial 23S ribosomal RNA". It matches the Rfam family "Bacterial large subunit ribosomal RNA", at positions 365 to 2915 of the family's 2925-position model. The record is from RNAcentral. Lineage: Bacteria; Pseudomonadati; Pseudomonadota; Gammaproteobacteria; Enterobacterales; Enterobacteriaceae.